This 91-nucleotide ribosomal RNA is filed under the name Sporosarcina sp. JAI121. RNAcentral's name for it is "Bacterial small subunit ribosomal RNA". It matches the Rfam family "Bacterial small subunit ribosomal RNA", at positions 1 to 89 of the family's 1533-position model. The record is from Rfam by way of RNAcentral. Lineage: Bacteria; Bacillati; Bacillota; Bacilli; Caryophanales; Caryophanaceae.
AUUAUGGAGAGUUUGAUCCUGGCUCAGGACGAACGCUGGCGGCAUGCCUAAUACAUGCAAGUCGAGCGGAAUGAUGGGAGCUUGCUCCCUG